RNAcentral lists this ribosomal RNA (408 nucleotides) under uncultured bacterium. Its description in RNAcentral is "partial 16S ribosomal RNA". It matches the Rfam family "Bacterial small subunit ribosomal RNA", at positions 28 to 526 of the family's 1533-position model. The record is from RNAcentral.
GACGAACGCUGGCGGCGUGCUUAACACAUGCAAGUCGAACGAAGUGGCGAACGGGUGAGUAAUACGUGAGUAACCUGCCCUCCUUUUUGGGAUAAGCCUUGGAAACGGGGUCUAAUACCGAAUAAAGGGGGAUGGGCUCGUGGCCUAUCAGCUUGUUGGGGGGGUGAUGGCCUACCAAGGCGGUGACGGGUAGCCGGCCUGAGAGGGUGACCUGCUAAAUUGGGACUGGCAGAGAGGCCAGCGGCCGACGGGAGGGGGCAGUGGGGGAUAUUGCGCAAAGGGCGAAAGCAGGCUGGCGCGGCGACGGGUGGGGGAUGUAGGCUUUCGGGUUGUAAACAUCUGUCGCGAUCGAACGGGUAGGUGGAGAAGAAGCGCCGGCUAACUACGUGCCAGCAGCCGCGGUAAUUC